This 490-nucleotide ribosomal RNA is filed under the name uncultured bacterium. RNAcentral's name for it is "bacterial SSU rRNA". It matches the Rfam family "Bacterial small subunit ribosomal RNA", at positions 9 to 489 of the family's 1533-position model. The record is from RNAcentral.
GAGUUGAUCCUGGCUCAGAUUGAACGCUGGCGGCAGGCCUAACACAUGCAAGUCGAACGGUAACAGAAAGCAGCUUGCUGCUUUGCUGACGAGUGGCGGACGGGUGAGUAAUGUCUGGGAAACUGCCUGAUGGAGGGGGAUAACUACUGGAAACGGUAGCUAAUACCGCAUAACGUCGCAAGACCAAAGAGGGGGACCUUCGGGCCUCUUGCCAUCGGAUGUGCCCAGAUGGGAUUAGCUUGUUGGUGGGGUAACGGCUCACCAAGGCGACGAUCUCUAGCUGGUCUGAGAGGAUGACCAGCCACACUGGAACUGAGACACGGUCCAGACUCCUACGGGAGGCAGCAGUGGGGAAUAUUGCACAAUGGGCGCAAGCCUGAUGCAGCCAUGCCGCGUGUAUGAAGAAGGCCUUCGGGUUGUAAAGUACUUUCAGCGGGGAGGAAGGGAGUAAAGUUAAUACCUUUGCUCAUUGACGUUACCCGCAGAAGAA